CACGUAGGGGGCAAGCGUUGUCCGGAUUUAUUGGGCGUAAAGAGCUCGUAGGUGGUUCGGUAAGUCAGGUGUGAAACCUCCAGGCUCAACCUGGAGACGCCACUUGAUACUGCUGUGACUGGAGUCCGGUAGGGGAGCGUGGAAUUCCUGGUGUAGCGGUGAAAUGCGCAGAUAUCAGGAGGACCACCAGCGGCGAAGGCGGCGCUCUGGGCCGGUACUGACACUGAGGAGCGAAAGCGUGGGUAGCAAACAGG
Molecule: ribosomal RNA, 254 nt
Filed under: uncultured bacterium
Lineage: Bacteria
Description: partial 16S ribosomal RNA
Rfam family: Bacterial small subunit ribosomal RNA
Source: RNAcentral